RNAcentral lists this small RNA (848 nucleotides) under Pongo abelii (Sumatran orangutan). Its description in RNAcentral is "processed transcript". Lineage: Eukaryota; Metazoa; Chordata; Mammalia; Primates; Hominidae. The record is from RNAcentral.
CUAUGCCAAUCAGAAUGGCUCAAAUACCAAGGGAAGUGUUAUUGGUUCUCUAAUGAGAUGAAAAGUUGGAGUGACAGUUAUGUGUACUGUUUGGAAAGAAAAUCUCAUCUACUAAUCAUACAUGACCAACUUGAAAUGUCCCUCAUUGUCCACAUUUUAGGCUUUUAUAGAAAAAAAUGUAAGACAAUCAAACUACGUGUGGAUUGGGCUUAACUUUACCUCCUUGAAAAUGACAUGGACUUGGGUGGAUGGUUCUCCAGUAGAUUCAAAGAUAUUCUUCAUAAAGGGACCAGCUAAAGAAAACAGCUGUGCUGCCAUUAAGGAAAGCAAAAUUUACUCUGAAACCUGCAGCAGUGUUUUCAAAUGGAUUUGUCAGUAUUAGAGUUUGACAAAAUUCACAGUGAAAUAAUUAAUGAUCACUAUUUUUGGCCUAUUAGUUUCUAAUAUUAAUCUCCAGGUGUAAGAUUUUAAAGUGCAAUUAAAUGCCAAAAUCUCUUCUCUCUUCUCCCUCCAUCAUCGACACUGGUCUAGCCUCAGAGUAAUCCCUGUUAACAAACUAAAAUGUACCCUUCAAAAUUUUUACAUGAUAGUAUAAACCAAUGUGACUUCAUGUGAUCAUAUCCAGGAUUUUUAUUCAUUGCUUAUUUUAUGCCAAAUGUGAUCAAAUUAUCCCUGUUUUUCUGUACCUUGCCUUUUAAAUUCUUAAUAAUGUCCUAAACAAAAUUUCUUAUAUUUCUAAUGGUUGAAUUAUAAUGUGGGUUUAUACAUUUUUUACCCUUUUGUCAAAGAGAAUUAACUUUGUUUCCAGGCUUUUGCUACUCUUCACUCGGCUACAAUAAACACCCUGA